GUCUAACAGUCACAAUGAAUCCUUCACACAUGACCAAGCUAUUCUUUGUUUCUCAUCGUCUCCUACAGCGUUUAUCCUAAGGUUCUUCCAUGUGUAUAAUUUCCCAGAAAAUUUAGUACUUAAUAUUCUGAUGGUUUCCACUACAUGUUUUGUCUCCCUACUGAGACAGUAAGUGAUUCAAGGGCAAAGUCUUUGCCUUACACCAUUUUUUAAUCUUCCAAUGCUGAGCCCACACAAGGUGCUAAAUAAAUAGAGCAGUAGUUCUUCAUGUGGGGCGGAGGUGAGGGAUCACAUCAGAAUCACAUAGGGAGCUUUGAAAAAUCGAGGCACACACAGAAAGACCCAUAUAAUUCUUAAGGUAUCAGAUUUUAAAUUUUUAUUCAUAUUAUUUAUAUUUCCAAUGGUAAUUUUGGCAUGCCUUUUCAAGAUCUAGUAUCUUAAAUAUAGGAACUUGGCAUAUAAAGGCAGCUCCACAAAACCAAUAGGUAAGUGAUGGAUUAUUUUGUAGCAAAUAAUAGGAAUACUGGCUCACUUAUUUGGAGGGGGAAAAAGCUGAAUCCCUCAAUUAAAUCAUGUAGAUUCAUUUAUUUAACUGAAUUCCACACCAUAUGCCAAGCACUCUUCUAGAUUUUGAGGAAACAAGACUGAGCAAAAGAGACAGUGAGGUGCUGGUCUCAUGAAGCUUUCAUCUUAGUGGGGUUCUAUGGACAAUUAACUUUCACAUACACAUAUAUAUGUGUAUUUAUAUAUAUAUAUAUAUAUAUAUAUAUAUACACACACACACACACACACAUACAUAUUAUUUCAGUUUUCCCUAGUGAGAAUGCUAUAAAGAAAAUGAAAGCAAGAUAAGGGAAUGCGGGGAAUGUUCUUUUAGAUAGGGAAAGCCUAUCUGAGAAGGUGACACCUGGGCAGAAAUUUUAACAAAAGGCAGAAGUGGGGCAUGAAGCAAUCUGAGAAAAGGGCAUUCUGGGUGAAGGAGGACAUUCUGGGUGGAGGAAACAAGUGACUGUAAAAGUCUUCAGGCAGAAAGGAGCUUGCUUGGCUCUUUGAGGAACAACACAAAGGCCAGGGCUUGGAACAGAAUGAGUGAGUGGGAGUGUAUUAGGAGAGUGGUGGGGGAGGGAUGUGUCUUUGUCCUUGAUGGUUGAGAGUGGAAGUUGGAGAGUGAGCUGGAGAAAGGUGAGGGACUAACAAAAUCCAGAAAUGGAGACAGAGACUUCUCCAGAUGUGUGAGUGGCACAUCUAACCCAUCAUAGGAAGGCCACUAGACUCCAUUAGCAGAUGUUAAUUCUCAUGCCUCAGACUUGAAGCUGAGUGAUAUGACUAAUGGUAUUGAGCAGGGUGUGGUGAGUGCUGCUAAGCAUGGAGAGAUCUUGGUGGCUGUCUUUGGGCUGCUGUAACAAAAUACCACAGAUUAGGUGGCUUAUAAACAACAGAAAUUUAGUUCUCACAGCUCUAGAGGCUAGAAGUCUGAGAUCAGUGUGCCAAUGGUCUGGUGAGGCCCCCUUCCAGGUUGCAGACUUUUCAUUAUAUCCUCACAUGGAAGCAUGGGCUAGGGAGCUCUGUGGGGUCUUUUAGAAUAGCACUAAUCCUAUUCAUGGGGCUACACUCUCAUGAUCUAAUCACCUCCCAAAGAUCCCGCCUACUAAUUUUGUCAUCUUUGGGGAUUAGGGUUUCAACCUAUGAAUUUUAGGGAACACAAACAUUCAUACCAUAGCAGUGUUCAAAAUAGAUAAGCGAAAAAUAGUUCCUCACAGUGGGCACUGUGUAAGCUGAUGUGUCUUGGGAAAACAACUCUGGGUAUGGCAGAGAUUGGCUUAUAUGAGGACCAGAGUGUUUCCCAGGACACUCUCUGCACAGGAGUAUGGAUCAUCUUCCCCUUGGUGAAAGUUCCACUGGGGUAGAGUGUGGAAUAAUGGGGUUCUGAAAACCCCUCACCGCUUUUAUUCCUGCCUCUUUCUUGGAAGUGUUUCUUUCAGUACAAUUAAGUGUGAAAAUUAUGCUUGGAUUGGCAUCCCAUAUAGGCAAGAUUUUAAAGACUUGAGAGACCUAAGCCUACUUAGAUGCUAUAGGUCUACUCCCACACUUGUAGGAAUAGGCUCAUUCAAUUGUAGAUUAUAGGUGCUGGUAAGUCUGAAAUUUGUAGGGUGGGCUAGUGGGCUGGAAGUUCAGGUGAGAAAUGAUGUUGCUGUCUUUUGUCCUAAUUUUCCAGGCAACAUGCUGGAAACUCAGGCAGGGUUUCUAUGUUUCAGUCUUUUUUUAAAAAAAAUUUUAUUUAUCUGUUUGUCUGUCUAUCUGUCAUCUAUUUAUCUAUCUAUUUCUCUGUGUCUUUAACAUUUAUACUCAUUUUUCCAGCUUUACUGAGGUAUAAUUGAAAAACAUUGUAUAUAUUUAAAGUAUACAAUGCGAUGAUUUGAUAUAUGUAUAUGCUGUGAAAUGAUUAUCAUAAUCCAGUUAAUUAAUACAUCCAUCAUCUCAAUGGUUACCUUUUUUUUCCCCCCUGUGGUAAGAAUGCUUGAGAUCUACUUACUCAGCAAAUUUCAAGUAUACAGUGCAGUCUAUGUUGUGGUCUUGAGGAGAAUUCCUUCUACUUAGGGAACUUCAGUCUUUGCCUGUAAGGCCUUCACUGGUUAGAUGAGGCCCAUCCACAUUAUGGAGGGUAAGCUGAUGAUUUACUUAAAGUUUACUGAUUUUCCCAAUUAUUUACUUGUUAUUUACUCAUUUACUCAUUCACUGGUUUACUGAUUUUCUUAUUCAAAGUCUAUAUCUAAGAAAUGCCUUUACAGAAGUAUCUAGACUGGUGUUUGACCAAACUACUGGGCACCAUAGCUUAGCCAAGUUGAUACAUAAAGUUAACCAUUACAGAGCACUAAACUGCCUUAUAUAUUAAAAUGAACUAGGUCUUCCUUGGGUAUAGAGAUGGUUCUUUGGAUGUGCAGUAUUAAGAAAGUAGUUCAGACCAUCAUCUCUGGUGUCGGACUCCUAGGUUUUGAAUCUUACCUUUACCACUUAACCAGUUAGCUAAACCUUGGAUAAUUUACUUAAUAUAUUUGUGCUUUAGCUACCCCAUCUAUAAAAUAUGAAUAUAAUAUUAUUCAUCUCAGUAGGCUAUUAGGAGUAUUAAAUGAAUUAAUGCAGAUAAAGGGCCUAAAACAGUGUCACAUUGAAGUGAUCAGUAAAUGUGAGCUAUAGUUAUGAACAUAAUUAUCAUUAUUAGAUGGUUUUAGGGACAAGGACUGGGGGCCCAGGAAUUAGGCAAAGACAAAUCAGUGGAAGGAAAUCUGAUAUGAGCAAGGGUAGACCUCAGCAACAGGGCCAGGACUCAGGAGAGAAAGGGUUAGUGAAGGUACGGAAUGGGUUAUAGCUAGUCCAUUUUAGGAAUGUUUAGGUUUUCUUUUUCAGUACUAUAAUUUCUUAUGAUAUCUCUUCAAGUGUUCAGGAAAGUCGGUUAAAUCCUACAAUCUAGUGUCAGUCAUGGUUUGCAGUUGCCUUGGGGACUAGCAGCAACCACAUGUUUGUGUUCGCAAGGAAGUGGUGUGGUAGGAAAACAAAAUAGGGACUCUGAUUAUUUUAUGUGAAUAUUAAAGGAAAGAAUGACUCUGGAAUUGGAACAUUCGGGGACAUUUCCGUUAUAUACACAUAAGCCAUUGCUUUCCAUCUGAUAUCUUGUGCACCAAGCAAGCUCACUGCUCACUGUGUGCAUUGUUGGCCUAUUUCUGUCUCUUGCUUUGUGUAGAUGAAAACAUUCCCUUUGGAUAGUUUUACUUAGAACAUAGAUAGGCAUAAUGAUAGAAGUAAAGAGGGGGACAGAUUAAAAGCAGGUGCUUGGAAUGCUAUCUUGAAGCUCUGGUCAGGCUAAAGUUGGUAGAGACAAGUGGUUCUAAAAAGUGGCCAAAUGACCUUGAGCACAUAGUGAUGAGGCCCUGGAGCAAAGUGGGUAAACUUUAAUUACUUUCCUUAAUUUCCCACCCAACCCUGGGGAAUUCCAGGCUCAGCCUUAGCACUGGGAAAGGCCAAAUUGACAUUGGUCAGACUUGAGCACCUUGCAAACAGCUAUCACAAGCCAAGUCACUGGUGCCUGGCAAGGAAAUUAGCAUUUAUCGCAUUUCAGUAAAAAUGAUGUGGCCCAGUUAAAUUAGAUUUCCUUUCAUUUACAAUAGACUUAAAAUCUUAUUUAGCUAUAAUCCAGCCAUUGUAAAAUUGGUUACAAGGAUCCUAAUUUUCUGAGAUAUUGAAGCCUCCCUAUUCUAUCAGAGCAUCUUGAUUUUAUCCAUUUUCAUCCAUCGUUAAAUUUCUUAUGGCUGAGAAUGCCAGAGGCGACCUACCUUUCCAAUUCGCUGCUGCAUUCAGCAGUAACUGGAUUGAGAUCAGAAACAUUUAUUUUAUUCAAUGCCUUAUCUGCUCUUUUCCAUUAUUUUAAACACUACUGAGGGUCAAACUGAAAAUCCUUCUCUGAUUCUAACUGUAAUCAAGCAGGAAAUGGUUUUAUUUUAUAUUAAACUAAUAUCAAGCCUAGGAAGACAGCAUCAUUUCAUAUAGUGGAAUUGACUGGCCCAUUCUGCCAUUGCUGAAAAUUUACAGUUUGCAUAUCUUAGCACAAAACCUAUGCUUAUGUGACAUUUUACUUAAAAUUCUCCAAGCCUUCUUUGUACUCAAAUUGAUGUCUCUCUCAUUUGGGAGCCAGCUCAGGGUUUGCCACCUUUAGGAACCUACAGUUGCAGGUGCUCUCUCUCCUUCAUGUGAAUUCCUGCUGCUCUGAAAGUCUGUGUUACCUGUCCAGUCUAUUCAUCCACAGUAUGAUGUCCUUAGCUUACUUCUGUGUGUCUUGCCUCCCCAUCCAAGUAGGGCACUUGUGAAGCCUGAAACUAUGGCUCAAAUGGCUCCUUGUGCAUGCAGUGGUCUGGCUUUUCUGGGUUCCUGACAUUAGGAUCCUUAAAAUGUUAGUUAGAUAAUCCUAUGAGAAGCUUGUUGCUCCCUCCUUCCCUCCAGUUUUCUCUGGGCCUUAGUAACUUCCAGGGAGAUGUCAGUAGGCUCAAUAGUGCAAGGUGUGAGGUACUGUGUGAUCUGGGAGGCGGGGAUGGGGUGGAGGGGGAACAGCUGUGUCUCAUAGGCCAUGCUGGGCUCACUGGUUUCCCAGCCACUGCAGCUUCCUUCUGUGUAGAGCAGGGGUUGACUCUGCCGUGAUUACUCACUGUUCCUCCUCCCUGCCCACCCUGCAUGGUGACCGCUUAAGGCUUUCCCCUGGGGCCAUCUGCAAAGAGAUGGGAAGGGUAGGAUUGGAGCAUUUUGGGUGAACUUGGCUUGCUCUUGUUCAUAGCUGGAGACAGGGCAGCAGGCAGUGUUCACGAUCCUGACCUUGGUGGUCGAUACUCUCACAUGACCUGGGGAGCUGGCAUACACCAAAGUAUGAUGCCACCAAUAGCUGCGCAUCACUGAGGCAAGGCUAACUGAAUACAUGCUUUGAGUCCUGCUCUGUUGGAGGUGCUAGGGUUGAGAGUACAGAAACUUGUCCAAUAUGAACCCUGCAUUUGAGUUGCUGAACUCUCUACCUGGAAGGACUGAAACUGAGCCCAGUGCCAGGCCACAUAUCUCCUGGGUCCCAAAAUUCAAAGAAGAGAAAAUCUCUGUGGUCUGUAGUGGGAUAGGGAGAUGGACACAGGAGCAUCAGAGAAAAUGGAACUUUAUCUGUUUAUUAUUCAGUAAACCUAAUGAACCUCCCAUCAGCCAGAAUAUACAAAACUGAAAAUGUUCUUUCCUUGAGGGAGAGGAAGCAAGGGACAGUAACAAUGUGGUGUGGCACGAGUUGUGCUGUGGAUGUCACGAGAGCUGUGUGAGCCCCAGGCAGCUGCAGUUCGUCAGCCAAGACUUCCUGGAGCUGAAGAAGCAGAGGGCAUGAAAAAGACUGAGAAAAUGCCUUGCUUUUUCAAACUUAUUAAGAAGAAUAUCAGCCAGAGUGCCAACAGAAAGAACUGUUCAUUGUUCCAGAAAGUUUGGGUCAAGUGUUUUGUCUCUUUUUAAAACUUUGUUUCCCAUAGUCAAAUAGCCUAUUAUGAUGACUUUAUAAAGAAAGGAUCUUCUGGGUCUCUCUCUGGCCUUGGUCACAUUUUAUCGCAGAAAAUACACUGAAGGAGAAGUUAGGAGCCUAGACUGCUCCCAGUUUCUUCCCCAAUUACGUGGGAGCUGGGCAGCUAUGGUUGCAGCCCUGUGCCAGGUGUCCCCUUCAGGCAGGGCCCAUACCUCCUUCCUUCCUUUCCAUGUGUCUGUCCUACUAGAUGGCACAUAGGGUAUGGAAUGAGCUAGGAAGAGGGAGCCAUCCGCUGGAGACAGUCCUGACCUGGCCUGGGAUCUGGGCCCCCCUUUUUUGUUGUCCUUGUCUACUGACGAGCUCCUGGGUCCUGCUCAGGAAGACUUGUCAUUUCACAUUCCAUCAAUAAGCAGCCCCAUUCUCCAACAUUAGCUAAUAAUGUUGUGUCAGCAGGAUUAACAUCAGACGGCAGAGAGAGUGGUCUCAAGAUAGCUUUAUUGCUCUAGCUACCCUUGGAGUUUGUCUACAAGAGGAACACUAGGAUUCUGAAUGCAUUGAAUGUGGGGCCUCCUUCUGAGUAAUCCAACAGGACUGGAAGGGAGGCCCUCAGAGAGGAUCAGGGCUCUAUCUGGCCUAGCCAUUCAAACUCUUCUCUCUUCUACGUUCCCUAUUCUUAUAGGAGUUGGCUCCCUAAGCUCUGAAGGGCAGGGGCAACCUGGCCAGGAAGCUGUGGUAUAGCUGAGGAAAGUGACAGUGUAUUUCUUCUUCAGUGGCAGUAUGACUGAGGCAACUCCCUCUGCAUUAGUUGUGUGGGCCAGAGGCACUGUUACUAAUCGGUCAGCAUAGGGUGAGCAGCCCUCUUGCUCCUAGCCUACCAUAGAACUGCCUGCUGAGAAGGGGUCUGGGGAAGCCAUAGUGAACCACUAAGGAUAAGGGAGCUCACAGUCAGACUCAAGGGAGAAUUUCUCCCCUUUUGGUCCAAGCUUUCCUCCCUUGACUUCUUGCCACUGAGGUUUACUGAAACUCGGAUAUGCCAUUCUGAAGAUAGGCCAUUAAAGAUAAGGUAAGAUUUGAAGUCAUGGGCCAAGGACUCUUGAGUUUGUUCUCCCAGGGACACUGAAAGCUUAGUUCUGCACAAAGCUCUUGCCUAAUUUUCACUGUAGCCCUCUUGCAGUUUUCAUGGCGGUAAUUUACAAAUGGUAGAACUGAAACCCUAGAAUUGGAAUUAACCACUUGGACGUUAACAGAAGACCUUGGGUCCAACACGAUGACCUCUGUCUCAUUUAUCUGUAUAUUUCUGCCACCUGUCAGGCCAUGUGCUAUGUAACCUUGAGAAAAUUAUCUUAUCUAUUAGAACCUUAUAUGUAAAGUGGGGUGAUCAAUGCCAAUCUCACAGGGUCUGCAGAAGAGUAUAUCAGAAUAGAGUAUUUUGCCUGGUGCCUCUUAAAAUGGCAGUUAUUAUUGUAAGACUUUUAUCUUGAAGACUAAGUGACUAUAGCUACUCCUGAGGGCCAGGAUACCACAGCCUUUGAGGGUAGUGGUAGAGGGUGGGUAAGGAGGCCUGGCACCAUGCUAUUUGACCCUAUUAUUCUACUCUUUCUGGUUGACAGACUUGCUUCAGAGAUGAUUCAGCUUAGUCCAGCACCAAGGCUGCUGGGAUUCUGGAUUGUAUUCUACUGGGGCUUGCAACAAAGUCAGGGAGACACAAUGAAGGAUGUUUCCCUUUGUGUAUACAGCUGCUUCCUGGUUACAGUGGGCCAUUGUUGUGCUAAGCCACACUGGAAGGGAAGUGUAACUGAUUGGCCAAUUGAUUGUGUCUCAUGUUCUGGCCUCAGAGGUCCUGCUCUGUCAAGGUCUUCUGAGGUUUUGGGAAGUUGUCUCAAACAGUAGUUAUUACUGAUAGUAGAUGGAUUGUUGAUCUUAACUCUUUUCUCCUUCCCUGUAAUGGAAUAAUACCUUCAUGAGAUUUGCCAUGUGACUUUGGUAUACCUCCCAUUAGAGUAGGAGUCUAUGUCCCAUUGAUGUUGAGCAUGGCUUUAACCAAUAGGAUGUUAGUAUAUAUGAUGUGAGCAGAGACUUUGAAUGUGCUAGGGUUGUUUGGCCUGGCCUUUUGUGUUUCUGCUAUCUGCCAUGGAAUAACAUGCUCUGGAUAGCUCCUGGUCCACAAAGAAUUAUGAGAUACAUACAUACCUGAACUCUAUGCUUAGUCCAGAUCCAAGCCUAAUGGAGCCCAAUUGAGAUCAGCUGAAUUCCAGCCUACUCACAGACCGAUGAAGGAGAAAAAUGAAUGUUUGUUCUCAUAAGCCAAUGAGAUUUGGGGAUUGUUUGUUAUGUAGCAUUGUUUUGAAUAGCUGACUAAUGCACUGACACAUGGAUCCUCUAGUAAAGAAAGGAUCAGCAGCAGAAUGCAGAUUAGCUGAUGUAAUCCUCUUGGAGAGGGACUGAGAAUUUUCAGAACUAGAAUGCUCAAUUAUCUUUUCCCCUUGAGGAGACUAUAGUGAGCACUGGUUGGGCAUGGUUUUUCCCCUUUCUGCUUCCAGUACCCAACUUAAUGCCCUGCUCAGAGUAGAGAGUUGAUAAAUUGAAUGGAAUGAAUUGAAACAUAGCCAGGUUAGGGAGGGUUUAUUUCUGAAAAUAAGGCUUUCUGUAGGAGCAUCCAAGAUGAAAAUCAGAGAAGAGGCCAUGAUAAGGGCGGGCCUAGCCCACCCAGGGCAAGGCCAACUCCAAGAGAAAUUUUAGAAAUGCCCUGAGCCUUUGAACAACAUUGAUAGCUUCUGUUCUUUGAGAGUUGCUAGACAAUACACUUAGAAACGUAUCAUUUUCUGUCUCAGUCUGGACUGCUGUAGUAGAAUAUCAUAAACAGAGUAGUUUAAACAACAGGAAUUUAUUUCUUACAGUUCUGGAGGCUGGAGAGUCCGAGAUCAGGAUGCCAGCAAGGUCGAGUUCUGGUGAGAAUUCUCUUCCUGGUUUGCAUAUGUACAUCUUCUCGGUGUCCACAUGGGUAAGAGCAGAGAGAAAGGAAGCAAGCUCUUUCCUGUCUCUUCUUAUAAGGCUCCACCCGCAUGACCUAAUUACCUCUCAAAGGCCCCACCUGCAGAUACUAUCACAUGGGAGAUUAGAGUUUCAACAUUUGAAUUUUGAGGGGACACAAACCUUCAGUCUCUAGCAUUUUCUCUUCUAUUUUUUUUUUUUUUGAGGAAGAUUAGCCCUGAGCUAGCUACUGCCAGUCCUCCUCUUUUUUGGUGAGGAAGCCUGGCCCUGAGCUAACAUCCGUGCCCAUCUUCCUCCACUUUAUAUGUAGGACGCUUGCCACAGCAUGGCUUGCCAAGUGGUGCCAUGUCAGCACCCGGGAUUCGAACUGGCGAGCUUCAGGCCACCGAGAAGUGGAACGUGGGAACUUAACUGCUAUGCCACCAGGCCGGCCCCUUCUCUUCUAGAAACAACUCUUGACUAUGCAAUUAAAUGACCUCCCCCCUCCUUCUUCUGUGCUCUGUCCCCACUUCCCCCUCCCCGCAAAAAUAUCAGGUACCAACAAAGACUGGUUGUCAGCUGAUCCACACUAACCUGAUUUCAUAUAGAUGUGAGAAAUAAGGCUUCUCAGAGAUACUUGUAUUUUUAAAACGAAUUCUAGGAGUCGCAAAAGACUUCUCUAAGCAAAGAGAUGAAUUACCAGUAACAGACUGUCAAAAACUGUGUCCGGCUAUCAGGCUUUUUGGGUGGGAAAGUUCUGUGUGUUCCCGCUACCUCUUUACCCUGAUCCCUCUAUAUAGAUUCCCUAAAUCCUUUUGUAUUAGGGUGAGACCUGCUCAUCUGCUUCUAUGGCUCCUUUUCCUCUGUGUUUGGAAUGACACAGGGAGGCAGACAAUGAAUUGUAAAAACUGUUUCUAUUUAAAAUUUAAAAUUGCUGAGGGGUCUCAGGGCACACAUGUUUUUAAGAGUGCCUGGUUGUGCUGACAUCUGGUGUUGCAAGGUAAGGUGAUGCCUGGGGACUUCUUUAGGAGGUGGGACUGUGGAGACUGCUUCCUGCCACUUCAUCAAGCAGCCAGUCCUGAGGUCUGGAUGGACAUCAUCCCAUCCCCUUCCUCUGGCCGGCCCCUUGGAAGGACUGGACUUUUAGGUUAUUGUUUCCAGGUAAAGGCCAACUGGAAUUAACGAAGGACCAGCAUUUAAAAACAACUGUGUUACUUUCCAUUAGUGCAGGAAAGCAGCAGAAGAGUGGGAACAUUAGAUGGCAAGAGCCUAAGAUUUGGAGUCUGAGGGCUGGAAGCUCAGUGUUCUCAUCUGGGAAUCAUAGGAAAUAAAAGCUUGUCUCACAGGGUUGUUGUGAGGAUCAAGUGAGAUACAGUAUGUGAAAGCCCUCUGAGGGACAGAAUUCUGUAUAAAUAUUAGUUGUUAAUGGAGUUAUUACAGAGAUUAAUAUAAUGUAUUAAGGCUGAUGAAGUUUACUUCACCUUCCUUCCGCCAGAUGGAGUGUCAUGAAGCAAAGUAGUAGUCAAGCAGAAAUGCUCUGGUACCGGACAGCCUGAUCCUAAUCCCAGCUGCAUCGUCUACUUUCUCUCUGUGGUGGUGAUCAGAUUUAAGUGAGUCGAUACCUAAAAUGAAUACCUGAGUUUUAAUACAAAAAAGUAUUUAAACAGUGCAUGGCAGACAGUAAUCUUUCAAGAGAUGCCAACUAUUUUUUUAACUUAUUACUUUGAAAUAACCAUAAAUUUGCAGGAAGUUGCAAAGAAAUGUAUAGGGAGGUCUUGUGUGCUCUUCACCCAGUCUCCCCCAAAGCUGACAACUUGCAAAACCCAGGUUCAGUAUCAAUACCAGGAUAUUGACGUUGGUACAAUCUACAGAGCUGGUUCAGAUUUUACCAGUUUCACCUGGACCCGUUUCUGUGUGUGUAGGUCCAUGCAUAUCCUUAUGUGACCACCACCACAGUCAAGAUACAGAACUAUACAAUCACCAUAAGGCUCUCUCUCACCACCCCUUUAUAGCUACACCAGACAACCGUUUUUAAUUCGUUGAGUAGUCAUGAAACAAUUCUCAGUAGAAGUAUAUUUUUAUAGUAAGAAAUGCCUGACACUAAAUUUGUGAAAUUGUAAGCUUCCUGUCUUUGAAAGCAUUCUUUUUUUAAAGAUUUUGUUUUUCCUUUUUCUCCCCAAAGCCCCCCGGUACAUAGCUGUAUAUUUUUAGUUGUGGGUCCAUGUGGGACGCCGCCUCAGCAUGGCUUGAGUGGUGCCAUGUCCGCGCCCAGGAUCGGUACUGGCAAAACCCUGGGCUGCUGAAGCAGAGCUCAUGAACCCAACCACUCAGCCACAGGGCCGGCCCCCUGAAAGCAUUCUAAUAGAAGCUGUUCUUUAUCAGGGAUUCUUUAAAGUGGUAAUAAUAGGAGAGGGAGGGGGAUGGGGGAAAUUGAACUCUGAGGUCCCAACUCUAAGCUUCUAGAAUUAUACAGGGACGUACCCUAAAGGAGAUGAGGUUUCAAAUGCACCUUGAGGAACAGGAAGGCAAAGGGGAGAGGGGAGAAUAUACCAGCUAGACUGCAACCUGUGCUAGAUUAUGAACUGUGGCCCGGCUCUUCUCCCCUUCAGUACCCAGCUCAGGGCAGGGCUCUCAAGGCUGCUGAGAGCAGCUGACAAGAUUUCAACCCAAGGCAGGAGACUCACAAUGCCGUCAUAAAGUACAUGUGGAGGAGAGCUGAGAGAAAUUUUCUUCUUACAGCGGUAACCAAAGCCAACAAAUUAUAUUGAGAUCAGAAAUAAAUACAUCCUCUAGGAAAAAAAGAUCUUUGUCUCUGGGUGGACCAGCUGUGUGGUCAAAGCUGAAGAUGAUAUCAUGACAUCAUGGGUAACAAGCUGAAGCCAUUUCUCAUGCCCCAAACAAGGCUACACAAAGUGCUACCAGGAGACUUCACCUGACCAUCCUCAAAUUUCUGGAACCUUCUAGCUAUUGGGAAAGGCCUGGAAGAGGACAGUCUCAUGUGGCAGCCCUUAGCCUACUUGAAUGAAAUCUGACAAAUAUUGUAAAAAUACAGUCCAUUUAAAAACUUCAGUGGAUCUUCGUUUUGUUUCAGCAUAAUGGAUUGAAUCAAAUACAAGUUAUUUGCAGUGAACUUUCAUAAUAUAGGUAUUAUAUUAAUUUAGUAAAAAAAUUAGCCAUUUUCUUUACAUUUGUUUUGGGAGGGGAAUAGUAGUAAAGGGUGUUAAUAUUUAUUGAACCCUUAGAUGUGCACAGUAUAUUACACGUUAUCUUAUUUAAUCCUCAGGGUCACCCUGAAAGGAAGGUUAUUAUUAUCAUCAUUUUACAGAUAAGGAAACUGCGGUACAGAAGAGUUUAAGUGGCAUGCCUAACUCCAUGUAACUCAUCAGUGAGGAAGCCAAGAUUCAUAUCUGGGUCUCUUUCAGUAUAAAGCAGGUGCUGCUUCACCUACACUCUGCUACCUUCCAUAUAAGCCUCAACGUGAGCUCUGGCUUUAUUAGGUUGGCAAGCAUAGACUACAGACAUUUCUCUAAGAAGUCAUUUGGUUGCUCCUGGGUUCAGAGAUAUCCUAAAAGUAACUGAAACAAGGGAAGUUUUACUCCAUCAUUACACAUUCCUGGGCAGGAGAUCCUGUUUCUGGCCCUUACUUAGAACAACAAGUUGAAUUUGCAGUCAGACUAGUGAUAUUGUCAAAAUUUUUCAAACACAAAAACCUAUGACUGAUUGUAUACACUUGGGAUCGAAAUUACAUUGCUCUUUCAAAGAGCAGCCUACAAUGGCCUACCAAGAGGCCAAGCCAGUUCUGGGGGCUGUUGGCUAGAGGAUUUGAUUGUUGGUCAGAGGACACCAAAUAAGAGAUGGGAUGGUGUUGUGGGAGGGAGGGCUGGCUCUGGACAUCAGAGCUGUGAGUUCCAACAUAGAAUGGGCCGCUGUGCUGCUGUGCAAAUUUGCAAAAACUACUUAAUCCCCAUGAGCCUGUUUCCUUGUUCGAAAAUGAUGUAAAUUAUGGCAUCUACUUAAAGAAUUGUUGUCUGAGGAUUAUAUAAGUAAAGCACAUAGUAAUAUUGUUAGAUUUUAUCACUGUUGUUAUUAUUACUUGUCACUCAAAGCAUUCAGCUUUGCUGUCCUCAAUUCUCAGCACUUGCAUUAAUGUCCAAUUUCAAGUGCUGGGUAGAAUUGAAGCCUUUGUACCUGCCUCCAGAGAGGGCUAUUUAUUUUUCAUCAGUGCCUGCCAGGAACACACAACAUCACCAUUUGCCUAUCCAAAGGUACCUGAUUCUUCAGUGUUUUAUGUUACUAAAAAAGGGUCUACUUUGAAAACAGUGAGGCCUUUAGGAGAAAUUAGGUCUCGCCCUGAACUCAACUCUUUUAGAAAUUUCAAUUUACUCUGCUCUCCUCUCUGCCCUGCUUAUCUAGGAGAAGAGGCACAUUUUGGCUUUUGACUCAAUAAUGGGACUCAUAUUAAUAGGAAAGAAAGUUCAGAAGCAGAGAGAAAACUCUGGUGGAACAGAAGAAAAGCUAAAUGGAUUUUUCAAAAAUGUCCUGCAAACUCCUUUGAAUUGAUGAAGGCACAGUUGAGAAUGCCUCCCAACAUGUAGGCUUGAGGGACUGUUUUGCUUUAUAAAGCCUCAGAGAAGUUCCUCUGGCAGAAUUACCCCAAGUUGAGUAGAAAUGGAUCAAGGAAUGAACAAAAGGCUUUAACUAAGCAGUGAGGGCAGAUAAAAGCCCAGGUCCUCGAUUUGGAGUUUCUGCAGGGUCAGGCCUCUCCCUGGUUCUAUUGCUGGUUCCACGGUUGAAACCAGAGGAGAUAGCUGGAGAGUUAUGUUGUCCCGGACCAGUCACUUAUGCAAGAGGAUCACGAUUGAGAAGAGGCUCAGUAGCAUUUGAGGAAAACAAGUCAGAAGUGGAUGUCUUAGGUGGGAAAGUACUGAGAAGCAUUAACGCUGAGAGGGACAGUAGGUUAUAAAUUAGAAUGAGGCUCUAAACUAGAAAGUGCUCUUCUCUGGGAUUGACUAGCCUGUAAAACAGUCUGGGGGUGGGUGGUGAGCAGUGAGGCUUUCUGAUAGCUGGAGUUGUCUGAGAAAUAUGGACUGUCCCUCAGGGGACCACAGCCUGCUCAAAAGGUUUGUCAUGAUCCAAAUGCUCCUCAGUUCUUAGAAGGACAGUGGUGCCCAAAGGCUAGACCACCAUUCUGAAUCUUUCCUUGAGGCCACUAACCCAUUAACAAAGAAUUGUUCUGUCAUUGGUCAAGAUAAGGCAGUGGUUCCUAGCUGCUGGUCCUGUCCUAACACUGGUGGAGAGCCAAUAAAAAAAUAAGUCAUCUUACAUUUCCAGGUUGUGCCUUUUCCUUCAGGCUCCACCCUUGUCAUGGGGCAACUGUAGGCAGCAAUUGGCUCCUAAUGUGACAUGCUGGGUUUAGGGAACCAAUUCUCCAUUCCUCCGUGAGUGUUACAGAAUUCAUAGAAACCCAAGGAAGAUGCCUGUCCCCCUGUACAUUUUAUCCAGGGUCAUGAUCUUCAAAUAUAUCCUAUCUGCUCAGUCCUGUCUCCCUUCUUAACAUACACUGGUAAAAGGUUUGGACUCUGGUUCCCUCUAGCCUACCUCCUCACCUCAGCUCUCCCUUUCUACCUCAGACUUCAGAGUCCACUCCUAGCCCCUGUUUCUCAAUUUCCUAUCUAAUCCUGCUACCGAAAAUCCAUAUACAGGUCUUCCUCAUGAAGGUAAAUGACUGACAUCAUUUAAAAGCAUGGCCUUUUCUUGACGAUAUUUGCAGUUGAGCAGAGUGACAGUGUCACUAACAGACCAAUUUUUUUAUUCUUUUCUGUACCUCCUACUUCAUGGUUUCUGUUUACCACUUUGUUUCUACAAACACACCUCCAUCCUCUACUUCCACCAAAACUGAUUGCCAUCUUCUUCACUUAUUAAUUAAUCACCUGAACCAUUUUUUUUUGUCCUUGCUUUUCAUCUCUUCUUUGGUUUCAACAACUGUCUGAUAUCCCAGUGUUGGAACUGUUUCCUUUUCCCCAGUCCCUAAAAUCUUCCCAUAGGUAUCACAAUAUCCAGAUCUUCGCUGUCACUAGACAAACCUAAACACUUGAACCUAGGUUAGGAUUUUCCAGCCACAAUCUAUAUACCUUGCCCUUCUUCCCCACUUCCAUACCCAACUGAACUUUCCUCUGCCUUUAUUGGGCUUCUCAGUAGCUUCCACUCUUCAAAUAAAAUUGAAUCAACUUUGAGUUUGCCUGAAUCCUGCAUUGCCUGAGUUCCAUCACCAUUCAUGUCAAAGAUUCUCAUAUCAAUAUCCAAGACUCUUAUGUACCCUUAUCUUCCUCUGAGUCUGCCAUGCCAUCUUCUUCCUUAAAUAGUACCAUCCUUAUGAAGCUGACAAAACAAGGUCAGUGAACCAAGCAGGUCUGCAUCUCAAGGAAAGCUUGGAUUUGGGGAAGCUAUGGGUCUUUUGAGAAAUUGGGUGGCAUGAUCCCACCUGUCUAGUGUUUUGUCUUUUAAUCUUUCCAAUCCAAGACACCUCUAUCACUUGUGGAGACUCUAAGCAGGGAUUAACUGUGACUGCCACCUGGAAAGGUUGAGAGAUUUAAGUGCCCCAACUCACAAAGAGGCAGCUCAAGUGAAAUAAACAUUGUGACAUUUAAGAAGCAAAAAGAGCAUUUACUUUGGGCUGGAUGUGACAUUGCAUAUCACCAUAAUGGACUGCUCUGUGCCAACUGCAAAGUCCCAGGUGAUAAGUUAUAGCCAGUGACAGAGCAGGCCUUGAGUCCACAGACCUAUUCCUUUGGAGCCUGGUACCUGAGUUUCUUGCACUUUAUAUGUAAUUCCUUCCUCUUGUAUUUCAUGUAAUGUAUUCUUCACAGUGAGGCCAACAGGACAGUGAGUCUGCUAUGGAGGUGUCUUCAGCUCUUUUGGAAACCCCAGUGAGCUUCUAGCUUCAGGGCAUGACUUUCCUUGUGGAUUCUCAUGCCAUAGUCUUCUGGGAAAUUCAGAAUGAUCUCCCUAUUCUAAGAUGGUCAGUAUUCACCUAAAUUCAACUUGAUAUUUAGUCCUCAUUUAUGAAGCAUGUGCUAAAUUUAAAGCACUGUGCUCAGUUAUUUGGAUAUAUAGAGGAAAAAAAGACAUGGAUGCUGUCAUCAAGAAAUAAUUUAACCUAGUGAACUAGAGAUUUAUGUGCACAUACCUAUAAACAGUGAAAAGUGUAUUGAGGAAAGCUUCUUAGAGGAGCUGGCAUUUGAGCUGUGCCUUGAAGAACACAUAUUUCUAGAUGAGCAGAGAUGAGGAGGGAGCAGAGAAAGGAGAGGGAUUGGAGGAGGAGGUAACAGAGUGAGAAAAGAGCAAUGGGUAGGACUAUGAGGGCAAGACUUUGUGGAGUAUAUAUGUUUGAGGUUUGGGGGGAGAGUGAGGUGAGGCAUCAAAGGGGUUGAAUAGGCCUCAAAUUUAAUGUUCACUCAAUACAUACCAAGAGUUGUGCAAAGCACAGGUUAGCCUCUGAGAAAGGAAGAAGGAUACAACAGCUAUCCCUGCAUGGCCAGGAAGUCAAAGCCACGCAAAUCCAGGGGCUGCUUUCAGAGCUAUAAGUGUACCCAGACCUGUCCAUGGCCAUGGGUUUUUCAUUGCUUGGGUUCUCUGUUACCAUCUCUCUUUCUCUUGGCAUUCUGAAUGCUCACCCUCAGUCUUUUCUUCAUUUGUUGAACCCUGAUGAUGUGGACCAUCUGAUCCUUCCUAGUCCCCAAUUCUUGCAUAGGUUGUUGACUCUGAUCAACUUUACUGCAUCUAGUUCUCUGCCAUGUGAGUGGUGACCUAAUCCUUCUUUGCUCUGGCAGCCCUGAGUGAAGUUUGUCUUCAUAUAAAUACAGACAUAUUUUGCCUUGGUAAUUCUUGCUUCUGCUGCAUGUUUUUCCCUCCAGGCACUUACUUUUUUGUCAUGUAGGCACCCAGUUUCAAUGCCUGGGGUGGCUUUCAGUGUUAUGGAUACACCAGGAAAAAAAAACAACACAAGAACUGUCACAAUCAAGAGUUCCGACUUCAAUGAGUAAUGAAGUUGCAUGAAUUCCAACUCGUGGUUCCAAAGGAUUUCCAUAAGCCUCUUGAUUUCCAAAUGAGAAAAUCAUGAUAAGCAGUUAAUUAGCUCUUUAAGCAAAGGCAAGCCGUCUCAGACACUGCUGUGCACUCCACACUCUUGGGAGAGGGAGGCCAGUACCACAUCCUGACAAACAUGCAGUGCAAGCAUGAAAAUGGAGUUCAUAUAAAUUCAAGUAAUGUCCUUUGACUUUUCAUUAAGCCAGGCAUGUCCCAGUUACCCCUUGGGGACUUUCUUAACGUUAUCAUGGCAACAUACAAUUAAGUCAGAUUACAUUUUUUUAUAUGCAGGGAGAGGUGCUAAGAUACCAUUCUAAAUUAUUCAGCAGUUCACUUUUCACAAAACAACCCCAGAUAUAACUUUAAGAUGUGCAAUAUUAAAAAAUACCAGAUAAUUUGAUAUUGCUAUAUCAUGUAAAGAAGACUUUUUUCCUUUCCCCAGGGAGAACAAAAGACUUAAUCGAACUCCACAAGCAUAGCUGUGCUUAUCACAGCUUACCGUAUUACUCUGAUUUAUGUGGCAGAUUGUGAACUCCUUGAGAAUUAACAGAAGUUUCUUCCUUAGGGCCAGAAUAUUCUUAUUUCAGCAUUGUAAAGCCAGGGACAGCUUUGAAAAGGAGCUAAAUCAUUUUUCUCUUUCUCCCCCUGACACCCCACACCUCCUAUGUGUGGUGUAUGUAGAUUUGAUCCUUAGUUAUCAUGUCACGGUUCCUAAGGAGUCUUAAGGAGACUGAUUAUAUAAAGGCACCUUUAGAAGGGCAUCAUCUUGGUGAGCCUUAAAGGCUCCUCUUAGUCUUCAGAACAAGACCCCUGUAUCAAAGGAGGAAGAAUGAAUUGGGGUGCUGAGUUAUACAGCUAGAGGCCAACCCAAGUGGGAUAGGACUUAGUGUGGGGAAACACUCUUUUAUGGGUCACUGGUGCUCCUAUGCAUCUUGCUAAAUAUGCCAAGAUUGGAAGGUCCUGACCACUCUUUAUCUGGACAAUUUUUCAAGGUUUGUUUGUAGCAAAUAACUUGAGGGAUGAGGUAACAUCUCCUCCAAGAUAGAGAGCAGGUCUCUUUACACACUGCUAUAGAGCGAUGGCUUCCUUAGGUUCAGUAUUCCUUACUUGUAAUGCAACCUCCUUCCUGCGCAUCCAUCUAGGUUCACCUGCACUGCCCCUCAGGGAACUGGGGCCAGUGACCCUGCUGAGGCUUGGCUAAUGCUUUUGAGUAACAAAGGCUUUUAUCUCUGACUCAAGAAAGCAUCCAUGAAAUUCUGGCAAGUUAACUUGUUAGCUUGCAAGUAGGGUAACAUAGCAGACCCUUUAUAGACCUUGAUGGUUAAUAUGUAAUGCUUGUGGUUGCUUUCUCCUUUCCCUGUCUGAUCUGAAGAUAUAGUUCUUCUUGUUUGAGAUACCCUUUUCUACUGCACAGAGUCCUCAUAUUUAAGCCAAAAUCUGAGUAGAAGCCUUCUUUCUUAAGAUCUCAAGAAGCGUAGACUGUCAUGACUUCUAAGAGGUAAGAUACCAUGCAUAAAUCCCUAUUGUGCCAAGCCUCUCUAUAACUGAUGUACUUGAUAAGUCUUGACUUAUUAACCCUUUGUGGGCAAGAUAGGCAGAAUCUUUGAUGUGUGGUAAGUGGUUGCUGCCUGGGUCUUACAUGUUUAAUUUUAUGUCAUCAUACGUCAGGGAGAAGUUAAGGUUUAUUACUUAAAUGCCCAUUUCUAGUCCAUGUCCCAAAAUUCAGAUUCAGGGUACACUGGAAGCUGUGUCUUUGGAAGUUGCUUUGAUGGUGGGGCCCCAGACACUAAUUUGUAGGUCAUUGCUGUUGUUUCACAGGUGCCUGUGGAGGCACAAAGGGGUAAGCUGAUGGGCAAUUGCAGCUCUCCCUUCUAGUUCUGAGACUUCUCUCCUGUCUAGCAGGCAACAGUCAUGUUGUGUUUGUUUGGAGAAAAAACAUGGUUCCUUUCCACCUGGGCAUACCCUUCUCAAGCUGAAAUGGCUGCUCUUAUUGCUGUGUCCUACUUCUGAGGGGCCAGCCUGGCCAAGGAGUAAAUGACAAAGAAAACCACCAGCAUCUCAACGACCACCACUCAAGCAACAGUUCUUCUUAUGGUAAUUGUCUUCUAUGUUCUGGGUUCCUUAAAUCUAUGAUCUUUGAAAUUCAUAGCAACCACAAGAAGGGAUAUUAUACUACUCACUUUACACCCAAGGAAACAGGAACUAACUCAACAUGAUCACAUAGCUUCUGAGCACCAAGCUAGGAUUAUAACCCAGAGCCAUCUGAGUUCAAAACCUUUCCAUCUUUUGCUGGUGCCUCUCUAAUCCUACUUUCUUUGUAAAGGCUCAGCAAGAUGAGAUGUGGUCUGUGAAAUUCAUAAAGACCAUCAUACCAUAGUUCAAACACCUCUGAAGAAUCCCUAUCACUUACAGAAUGAAGUCCAAUUGUUCUGCCUUUCAGUCACUUCCUCUUCCCAGUUACAUUCCCUGCUAUUCACCCCCAAACAGACCUUAAACCUUAGCCAAAUGUAAAUAUUCAUAAUUCCCUGUAGUGUCAUCAAUUUUUCUCACUCUAUGCUUUUGAUCAGGCAGCCCUAGCUUCAAACAGCCCACUGUUUUCUCUAACAACUACCUAAAAUCCUCCCCAUCUUUAAAGAUCUGAAAUCAGAUAUCACCUCCAUGAAGCCAUUCCUGAUUCCCAAAACUUAAUGUGAACUUUCCCUCUUUUUGACAUGGCAAUUCUAUUUCGAUCCUUUAAAGCCCUGAUUGCACAUUGCCGUAGUACACCCAUCUGCUUAUAGAAGAGCAAGUUGUCCCAGAAGCCCAGAUCUUUCUUGUGCUUUGGAUCCAUAUAUCCUGCUGCCUACUAAAUAUUUCCCCUUGGGAAUUCCAUAGGUGUCUCAACCUCAGUGCAGCUGGAACUGAACUCCUAAUGUCGUUCACAAACUUGUGCCUCCCCCUAUCUCCGUAAAUGACCCUCCUUCACCCAUUUGCUCAAGCCAGAAAUAUGGGUAUCAUCACUGACCCUUUUUUCUCUAUCAUUUGUCGCAUCCAGUCAAUCAUUUAAUCCUAUUGCAUCUAUUGCCUAAAUAUGUCUCAAAUCUAAUAUAUUAUGUCCAUUUCCACUGUAAUUUCCCAAGUCCAGGUGACCAUCAUUUGCCAACCAGAUUACCAUAGCAGCUGUCCUUCUAAUUAACCUCCAAACUUUCAGGUUUCCUUCAUCCAAACUGACUCUCACUGCUUGAGUCUGAGGGAGGCUUUAAAAAUGCAAAUCUGACAUGUUACUCUCCUGCUCAGAAGACUCUCCUGCUCAGAAAUUGCCCUUAGGAUAAAAUCUAAACAAAUGGUUUAUGUGCCUUUUCUUUGGGUGCCUCUUUUAUACCUCUCUAGCCAUAUCUUUCACAGUUUCUCCCUCUUGCCCUUUAUGCUUUGGCCGUUCUACACCCAAUUCGGUUCCUCAGAUAAGCACUGUUCCUUCCCACAUAUUGUUUUCUUUACCUCUAAGGAUGUGCUCCUUCUGCCCCUUCCCCAGUGCAUACGUUUUUGCCUGGCUCCUCCUCUGCUCUAUCCCAGGUUAGAUAUAACUUCUGAGAAGCUUUCUCUGACCUUAUAAAGACUGAAUUUGGUGUUCUCCAAUGUCCUCUAUAACUCUCUCUACUCCCUAAUCACAGCAAAGUGUUAGAAUUGCUGCUUUCAUGGCCUAUCUCCCUCACUAUACUGAUUAGAACAUAUCCAUUAAAACUUGGAUAUCCAUGGAAUUCUUUCCUGCAAAAUAUUUGGGGCUCCAUAGAAUUAUGAACCUCUAUGGAGCCUGGCGCAUAGGAGGUGUACUAAAUACUUGUCUUUUGUUUAUUUGAGAAGAAAACAGGUAUUUCCAAUGUUAAGUGUUUGCAACUAAUCACAUAGAUUAUUAGAGAUAUUCUUGAGUCUUUUGAUUUCCAUGUUUUCUUUUUUUUUUGGUUGUUAAAUUAAUACUGUCUUGGUGGCAAGCAAGGGUUAAUAGCUAUUUAAGGACCCAGGGAAAGUACGAAAGAACAUGUCUCUGUUCACAAUGACAUUAAUUUAUAAGGAAGGGUUGGAGGAGCAAGCCAAUCAAAUACUGGAUGCCAAAUUACCAUAUAUCACACAAUUUACGAGGCAGUCAAAAGUGUUAUUAAAUUAGAGACCAGAACAACCUUCUUAAUUCAUCCUUAUGACAGUGAUUGUAAUGACUCUAAGAACCUGGUUUAACCUGAGUUCAUUUUAUGAAAGGUCUUUCAUUUUUAAACAUUACAUUUAUUGAAUUUUAAAGAAAGCUUGCCUUAAAAUGCAUACAGUUAAAACAUAAUAAAAAUGCCUCAAUAAUCAAUCUACAUUCACUACCUGAGGGAUACAGUGGAUUCCGUUUUUCAAAAAUCUGGUGUUGAUGUAUUUUUUUCUUUUUCUCUGUAAAACAGAAUCAUUAAUCUUCAGAUUUCACCAAAGUAGUCCUGCUAUUUUUUUUUUUUUUUCCUGUUUUAUGCUCUUAUGCCCCGGCAUCUUUCAGUAGAUUCUAGUUUUUCUAUUCUGAUAACUCUGGCCAAUAGUGGGCCCCUCCUUAAUCCUUCUGCUUUGCAGGUGAAGCCAAUGCUAUACAAUCCAAGAAGAGCCUUGGUCAGGGAUGAGGGCUUACUAUUAUCAGUGUUUUGGGUCUCACUGAUCCCAGGCCUUAUGGACUCAUGUGAAAAUCACAAGUACAGCAUCACUUUUACCUCCAUUGUUGGCUCCUAAGGGUCUGGGACACUGUUGGAUGAAGUAAACUUGCGUGGCUCCCUACUCCAACCUCCAGCCCCCAGCUCUAAGCACGAAGUGGUUGCUCAAUAACUCUUAUGGCAUGAGUAAGGAAAUACUUUUAUUUUUUUAUUUCUUGACUUUUAUGAUCCACUAGUUUAUGCUCUCAAUUCAAGAUGGACACAGAUAAGAACAACCUAUGGCACAUUCUUUUCAUUGGGGCUGUCCUGCCCAGGGCGUUGUCAUAUUUGGGUAGAGUCAGUAGGGCAGGAUGCAGCUCUGCCAAAGCUCAUUAAAUGGCAGUGAGAACAGCAUCUUGGUGUGCUGUGUGCCCUGGCCUUAGUUCUCAGAGCAGUUGGCUCUCUUAGUGGCAUCCAGUCAACCAAUGGUGGCAGAGUUUCUUCCACUGUGAUGGGGUAGCUUUUUGUCUUCUGCAAAAGCUGGACACCCUGGAGAACAAAGUAGCUUCCAGGAUCUCGGAUGAGCCUCUCUCCUAAAAGGGCACAUUUCUAAUGGCCCUCAAGUUGGGCCAUGGGUCCUGAGGGGACCUGGUACCAACUAGGUUAGAUUGUGGCCAUGUGAUUGAUAAGCGUUAAAUAAACAUGGAGAAACCAAGCAUAUGCCCAGUGCAUAAGAAACACCUAAUAAUUGUCACUACCCUUUCCUACUGUUCUUUCACCCACUUCUGGAUCCAUGCCACUUUGUUCCCUUGGAGAUGUCACUUGGCUUUUGGUUGGGGGGAUGGGGAAAGCAGGGAACCAAGAAAGAGUCCAAAAUUGUGAUGUGUGAGCUGACCCUUGAAGACUGAAUAAGAAUUAUUCAUACAAACAAGAUUAUAAAGAUGUUUUAGGUAGAAGCAGCUACUUAAACCAAGACAAAGAGAUGAGAAAUAACAAGAAGCG
Long non-coding RNA from Equus caballus (horse), 22713 nucleotides. Lineage: Eukaryota; Metazoa; Chordata; Mammalia; Perissodactyla; Equidae. The record is from Ensembl.